AACCACCAACACUCUUCUGAAACUACACCACCAUAGAGAUCAAGGCCAUUGCCGUCAUUAGAACCACCGCAUCAUCGCCUCUCUCUCUCUCUCCUCUUGGAUAAAGGAUUGUCUCCAUUCUCCAUCACUGAACAUGGCCAAACAUCGUUGAUUUUCUGAUCAUUCACGUAGGGUUUCAAAAGGAGAUUAUGAUCGAUUCAACAUCAAGAUAAUCUAUUAUCAGUAAAACAUCAAAUUCAAACGUUCGUGUAAUCACAUACAUUCUCCAUAUUAGGUUUUUAUCGCACUCAAUCCUCUUUCAUAUUCGUUAUCUGAUUCGGUCUUGCAUUCAAUUUUGCAUUCUUAAUAUAUGAACGAUUAGUCAAUCGGUGGAAAGAAUUCAAGGGAAAAAAGAGCGAGAUGUGAGCAUUCUUCAUCGUUAAGGUAAUCAAUAUGGCGAUUAUAUUUCUCAACCAUGUUACUCUCUUCCGCCACCUGCUACUUCUCCUCCGACAUCUCCUAGACCAUAAAAAAAGAAGCCUAACAAAAGAUAUUUGAGAAUCAAAGAUAAUAAUUCUUUGGAACAGGUAACAUCAAUCACCUAGAAUUUCUCUCGUAGUUAGUAAACAGUUUUUUGUAUCAUUUUUAGAAUUAGGGAUUUACGUCAUUUGCAGGUGACAUAGGCUCUUACACUUGCAGGCCUGCAAAAAUGAUUAGUCAAAAGAAUAUUUAUGGAUGACUUCUGCAAAAAUCAUGUACUAAGUUUGAUGGAUUGCGUCCGCCCAUGAACAUCGAAAUUGAAAAUUUGAAAUUUUCCUAGAACAUCUUACCCCAAAAAAUGUAUGUAUCAAUUUUACAACUAGGACUGUACAAUAGAUUAUUUAAAUUUCACUGCUUGUUUAAUGAUACGUGAAACGAUCUUAAAAAAAAUAGUUUCUUUUCUACUUUUGGAAACUUGAUAACUUGUCGAUUCUAAUUUGGUCUAAUGGUUCAAUUAUACAAGGUUGAGUACUUGCCGAUAGUUCUUGUGCAACAGCACGCAUCGAAGGUCUUGACUCGGGUGCUAAUCGUGUACACGCUAGAGCAACAUUAAGCACAAACACCACUUGUUCGGCGACACUAUCAUUAGGAGGCAGAAGCCUCUGAUCAAGG
This 1131-nucleotide long non-coding RNA is filed under the name Lactuca sativa (garden lettuce). RNAcentral's name for it is "long non-coding RNA (LSAT_LNC006132)". The record is from RNAcentral. Lineage: Eukaryota; Viridiplantae; Streptophyta; Magnoliopsida; Asterales; Asteraceae.